Molecule: ribosomal RNA, 500 nt
Filed under: uncultured bacterium
Lineage: Bacteria
Description: bacterial SSU rRNA
Rfam family: Bacterial small subunit ribosomal RNA
Source: RNAcentral
CAGGAUGAACGCUGGCGGCGUGCCUAACACAUGCAAGUCGAACGAAGCACUUCUGGUUUGAGAUUCGUCAAGAACCGGAUUUGACUUAGUGGCGGACGGGUGAGUAAUGUAUGAGCAACCUGCCUUUCAGAGGGGGACAACAGUUGGAAACGACUGCUAAUACCGCAUAAAGUAUUUUUAAGGGCAUCCUUGAAAUACCAAAGGAGCAAUCUGCUGAAAGAUGGGCUCAUAUCUGAUUAGUUAGUUGGCAGGGUAACGGCCUACCAAGACUGCGAUCAGUAGCCGGACUGAGAGGUUGAACGGCCACAUUGGGACUGAGAUACGGCCCAGACUCCUACGGGAGGCAGCAGUGGGGAAUAUUGGGCAAUGGGCGAAAGCCUGACCCAAGCAACGCCGCGUGAAGGAAGAAGGUCUUCGGAUUGUAAACUUCUUUUAUGAGGGACGAAGGACGUGACGGUACCACAUGAAUAAGCCACGGCUAACUACGUGCCAGCAGCUGC